This 465-nucleotide ribosomal RNA is filed under the name Vreelandella stevensii. RNAcentral's name for it is "partial 16S ribosomal RNA". It matches the Rfam family "Bacterial small subunit ribosomal RNA", at positions 338 to 795 of the family's 1533-position model. Lineage: Bacteria; Pseudomonadati; Pseudomonadota; Gammaproteobacteria; Oceanospirillales; Halomonadaceae. The record is from RNAcentral.
CCUACGGGGGGCAGCAGUGGGGAAUAUUGGACAAUGGGGGGAACCCUGAUCCAGCCAUGCCGCGUGUGUGAAGAAGGCCCUCGGGUUGUAAAGCACUUUCAGUGAGGAAGAAAGCCUGGUGGUUAAUACCCAUCAGGAAAGACAUCACUCACAGAAGAAGCACCGGCUAACUCCGUGCCAGCAGCCGCGGUAAUACGGAGGGUGCGAGCGUUAAUCGGAAUUACUGGGCGUAAAGCGCGCGUAGGUGGCUUGAUAAGCCGGUUGUGAAAGCCCCGGGCUCAACCUGGGAACGGCAUCCGGAACUGGCAAGCUAGAGGGCAGGAGAGGAAGGUAGAACUCCCGGUGGAGCGGUGAAAUGCGUAGAGAUCGGGAGGAAUACCAGUGGCGAAGGCGGCCUUCUGGACUGACACUGACACUGAGGUGCGAAAGCGUGGGUAGCAAACAGGAUUAGAUACCCUUGUAGUC